GAAUUCGCCCUUAGAGUUUGAUCCUGGCUCAGGAUGAACGCUGGCGGCGUGCCUAACACAUGCAAGUCGAGCGAUCUUCUUCGGAAGAGAGCGGCGGACGGGUGAGUAACGCGUGGGUAACCUGCCUCAUACACAUGGAUAACAUACCGAAAGGUAUGCUAAUACAAGAUGAUAUAAGAGAUUCGCAUGGAUUUCUUAUCAAAGCUCCGGCGGUAUGAGAUGGGCCCGCGGCGCAUUAGCUAGUUGGUGAGGUAACGGCUCACCAAGGCGACGAUGCGUAGCCGACCUGAGAGGGUGAUCGGCCACAUUGGGACUGAGACACGGCCCAGACUCCUACGGGAGGCAGCAGUGGGGAAUAUUGCACAAUAGGGGAAACCCUGAUGCAGCAACGCCGCGUGAGUGAUGACGGCCUUCGGGUUGUAAAGCUCUGUCUUCAGGGACGAUAAUGACGGUACCUGAGGAGGAAGCCACGGCUAACUACGUGCCAGCAGCCGCGGUAAUACGUAGGGGGCUAGCGUUAUCCGGAUUUACUGGGCGUAAAGGGUGCGUAGGUGGUUUCUUAAGUCAGGAGUGAAAGGCUACGGCUCAACCGUAGUAAGCUCUUGAAACUGGGAAACUUGAGUGCAGGAGAGGAAAGUGGAAUUCCUAGUGUAGCGGUGAAAUGCGUAGAUAUUAGGAGGAACACCAGUGGCGAAGGCGACUUUCUGGACUGUAACUGACGCUGAGGCGCGAAAGCGUGGGGAGUGAACGGGAUUAGAUACCCCGGUAAUCCACGCCGUAAACGAUGGGUACUAGGUGUAGGAGGUAUCGACCCCUUCUGUGCCGGAGUUAACGCAAUAAGUACCCCGCCUGGGGAGUACGGCCGCAAGGCUGAAACUCAAAGGAAUUGACGGGGGCCCGCACAAGCGGAGGAACAUGUGGUUUAAUUCGAUGAUACGCGAGGAACCUUACCCGGGCUCGAACGGUGCAUGAAUAUACGAGAGAUUGUAUAGUCCUUCGGGACAUGUAUCGAGGUGCUGCAUGGUUGUCGUCAGCUCGUGCCGUGAGGUGUCGGCUUAAGUGCCAUAACGAGCGCAACCCUUGUCAUUAGUUGCCAUCAGGUCAAGCUGGGGACUUUAAUGAGACUGCCACCGUAAGGUGUGAGGAAGGGGGGGAUGACGUCAAAUCAGCACGGCCCUUAUGUCCGGGGCGACACACGUGUUACAAUGGGAGGUACAGAGGGCAGCUAUCCGGUGACGGAAUGCUAAUCUCCAAAACCUUUCUCAGUUCGGAUUGGAGUCUGCAACUCGACUCCAUGAAGGUGGAUUCGCUAGUAAUCGCGCAUCAGCCAUGGCGCGGUGAAUACGUUCCCGGGCCUUGUACUCACCGCCCGUCAA
RNAcentral lists this ribosomal RNA (1376 nucleotides) under uncultured bacterium. RNAcentral's name for it is "partial 16S ribosomal RNA". It matches the Rfam family "Bacterial small subunit ribosomal RNA". The record is from RNAcentral.